This 77-nucleotide transfer RNA is filed under the name Sphaerodactylus townsendi. RNAcentral's name for it is "tRNA-Gly". The record is from RNAcentral. Lineage: Eukaryota; Metazoa; Chordata; Lepidosauria; Squamata; Sphaerodactylidae.
UGGAGGGCCAGUGGCUCAGCGGCAGAGCAUCAGUUUGCCAUGCGAGAGGUCGUCGGUUCAAUCCCUGGCCUCUCCAG